Non-coding RNA from Salmo salar (Atlantic salmon), 698 nucleotides. The record is from RefSeq and is a predicted model, not a curated record. Lineage: Eukaryota; Metazoa; Chordata; Actinopteri; Salmoniformes; Salmonidae.
GGAGAGGAGAUGAGAACCGAGGGAGAGGAGAGGAGAGGGAGGAGAUGGAAGAGAGGGAGGAGCAGAGAGUAGAGUGAAUCUGGAUUAGUCUGAUGCAGUGGCGUCAUUAGGCCUGGGCUUUAGGCAUUCAGACCCAGAUGUUUUUGGUCCAGCCCUGAACUUUUUGAUGGUCCCCCAAAAUAUAAAUAAACAAUACAAUAUACUGUGCUAGGCAGUAGCACGCACUGUAAGAAGAGAAAAGUCUAUGGGUAGGGACAUCCAAAGGAUCCUGGAGAGCACAAACCCUGCAAGAAGCCUCUGGAGUGACUGGUCAAGAUUUUACAACGCAGUGGACCGCUCACGUCCCUUGACCCCUCUCUUACAGCACCAGUUAGAUGUCAAGAUGAGCCAAGGAGAAGGACAGAUGAGAACAGCAGGCCAGUAGAGCAGCAGCAGCCAUGGGCAAUUGGGGAGAAUGCCCCUGCACCCACCUACUGGCUUUGUGCUAAGCCCCAAAUGUCUUCAAAUCCUAGUAAUGCCCCUGGUCUGAUGCUCAGUCAGCCAGCCCACCCAGCAGGACAACUGAGGACAGUGUGGAGUGAAAAAGAGAGAGAGAGAGGAGAAAGGGAAAGAGAGAAAUUGAGGAGAGACAGAGAGAGAAGAGGAGAGAAAAUUACUUUUGUAAUUUUAAAAAUGACCUUUUUGACACAAUUCCACUU